AGCAGCCGCGGUAAUUCCAGCUCCAAUAGCGUAUAUUAAAGUUGUUGCAGUUAAAAAGCUCGUAGUUGAAUUUCGGGAUCAAAGAAUCGGUCAUGCCUUGGUAUGUACUGGUUUUAUUGGUUCUCACCUUCUAAAGAACCAUGAUGUCAUUCAUUUGAUGUUAUGGGGAAUUAGGACUGUUACCUUGAAAAAAUUAGAGUGUUUAAAGCAAGCUUACGCUUGAAUACAUUAGCAUGGAAUAAUGAAAUAGGACAUCAGAUUCUAUUUUGUUGGUUUCUAGGAUCGAUGUAAUGAUUAAUAGGGAUAGUUGGGGGCAUUAGUAUUCAAUUGUCAGAGGUGAAAUUCUUGGAUUUAUUGAAGACUAACUACUGCGAAAGCAUUUGCCAAGGAUGUUUUCAUUAAUCAAGAACGAAAGUUAGGGGAUCGAAGACGAUCAGAUACCGUCGUAGUCUUAACCAUAAACUAUGCCGACUAGGGAUCGGAUGAUGUUAAUUUUUUAAUGUACUCAUUCC
RNAcentral lists this unclassified non-coding RNA (512 nucleotides) under uncultured Glomus. RNAcentral describes it as "SSU rRNA". It matches the Rfam family "Eukaryotic small subunit ribosomal RNA", at positions 569 to 1082 of the family's 1831-position model. Lineage: Eukaryota; Fungi; Glomeromycota; Glomeromycetes; Glomerales; Glomeraceae. The record is from RNAcentral.